Molecule: ribosomal RNA, 497 nt
Filed under: uncultured bacterium
Lineage: Bacteria
Description: partial 16S ribosomal RNA
Rfam family: Bacterial small subunit ribosomal RNA
Source: RNAcentral
GAUGAACGCUGGCGGCGUGCCUAAUACAUGCAAGUCGAGCGAACAGAUAAGGAGCUUGCUCCUUUGACGUUAGCGGCGGACGGGUGUGUAACACGUGUAUAACCUACCUGUAAGACGGGGAUAACUUCGAGAAACCGGAGCUAAUACCGGAUAAUAUUUCGAACCGCGUGGUUCGAUAGUGAGAUAUGGCUGUGCUAUCACUUAUAGAUGGACCCGCGCCGUAUUAGGUGGUUGGUAAGUUAACGGCUUACCAAGGCGACGAUACGUAGCCGACGGCAGAGAGGGAUCGGCCGCACUAGAACGGAGACAGGGUCCAGGCUCCUAAGGGAGGGCGCAGUAGGGAACGUUACGCAAUGGGCGAAAGUAUGACGGAGUAACGCGAAGUGAGUGGUGACGGUCUUGGGAUCGUAAAACUGUGUUAUGAGGGAAGAACAUACGUGUAAGGAACUGUGGCCGUCUUGACGGUACUUAAUAAGAAAGCCACGGCUAACUACGUG